RNAcentral lists this ribosomal RNA (2724 nucleotides) under Triticum aestivum (bread wheat). RNAcentral's name for it is "partial small subunit ribosomal RNA". The record is from RNAcentral. Lineage: Eukaryota; Viridiplantae; Streptophyta; Magnoliopsida; Poales; Poaceae.
AUGGACCCGAGUGAUGGAGGCCCAGAUGAGUUGCCACCACCACCUCCUCUGCCUCCCGACGUGGUGCCCAUCAAAGAACUGCCUCCAAACAAGCCAGCAAAGCCCAAAAGGCUCCCAAUGGCCAGGCCUGGGCUAGGGAAGAGAGGGCACACCAUCCAACUACUUGCUAACCACUAUAAAGUCUCCCUGAAGGGUUCAGAGGAAUUUUUCCACCACUACCAUGUUAAUCUGAAGUAUGAGGAUGAUCAACCUGUUGUUGAAAAGGGGAUAGGGAGAAAGGUGCAGGAUAAACUGGUGCAAAUGUACCAUUCCGAUCUUGCCAACAAGGACUUUGCAUAUGAUGGUGAGAAGAGCCUCUUUACAAUUGGGGCUCUUCCCCAAGUACACAAUGAAUUCACUGUAGUAUUGGAAGACAUUGGAAGUGGAAAGAGCUCUGGAGGUAAUAGUGGCAACAGUCCUGAAGGUAGUGACACGAAGAGAGUGAGGAGGCCGUACCAGUCAAAGAUUAUAAAAGUGGAGCUGAGCUUUGCGGCGAAAAUGCCUAUGGCCGCAAUCGCGCAGGCCAUUAGAGGUGAAGAAUCAGAGAACUCCCUGGAGGCUAUUCGAGUUCUUGAUAUCAUACUGCGGCAGCAUUCUGCAAAGCAGGGCUGUCUUCUAGUCCGCCAAUCAUGUUUCCACAAUAAUCCUAAAAGUUUCAUUGACUUGGGCGGUGGUUUGUCGGGAUGCCAAGGAUUUCACUCAAGUUUCCGUGGUACACAAAGUGGGCUCUCCCUAAAUAUUGAUGUUUCGACUACCAUGCUUGUUAAACCUGGUCCUGUUAUCGAUUUUCUUCUUGCUAACCAGAUGGUUCGUCGCCCUGAUGAAAUUAACUGGCAAAAGGCCAAGCGUACCCUCAAGAGCUUGAGGAUAAAAACCACUCACACAAAUUCAGAGUUUAAGAUAGUUGGUUUAACUGAGAAAAAUUGCAACGAACAAACGUUUCCAUUGAGGCGGAGGAACGGUGACAACGGAGACACUGAUACUGUUGAAAUGACAGUCUAUGAUUACUUUGUACAGAACAGAGGCAUAGAACUGCGCUAUUCUGGUAAUCUCCCAUGUAUCAAUGCUGGGAGGCCAAAGCGUCCAACUUACUUCCCUGUCGAGCUUUGCACGCUUGUUCCUCUGCAAAGAUACACCAAAGCUCUGUCUACUCUUCAGAGGUCCUCACUUGUCGAGAAAUCCAGACAAAAGCCUCAUCAAAGAAUGUCAACUCUUGAUGAUGCACUUAAACGUAGCGACUAUGACUCUGACCCCAUGCUGAAGGCAUGUGGCAUUACAAUUGCCCGAAACCUUACUCAAAUUGAAGGGAGGAUCCUGCAAGCACCCAAGCUGAAAGCCGGUAAUGAUGAAGAAUUCGUCCCACAAAAGGGUCGUUGGAACCUUGCGAGAAAGAAGCUGAUCCAGACCUGUUCUGUUACGAGGUGGGCAGUUGUCAAUUUCUCUGCAUGUUGUGAUGCUCGUGGUAUUGUCCGAGACCUUACAAGGAUUGCAAUUGCAAUGGGGAUUGAAAUAGAGGACCCUCAUGGUGAUGCAAUUGAAGAAAGCCCAGCAGUAAGACGAGCUCCUGCGUCAUGAAGAGUGGAUGAGAUGUUUGCUCAGUUAAAAUCCAAGCUACCUGGACAACCCAAGUUCCUGUUGUGCCUUCUUCCUGCGAGGAAAAACUGCGAAAUUUAUGGCCCUUGGAAGAGGAAGUGUCUUGCCGAACUUGGCAUCUUCACACAAUGUCUAGCUCCUCCACCAAGAGUCAACGAUCAGUACCUAAUUAAUGUGCUAUUGAAGAUAAAUGCUAAGCUUGAUGGGCUAAACACACUGCUACAAGGUGAGCUACCCCCUGCACCUGCAGUAUUACCCAUUGUGGGGAAGCUGCCUACUAUUAUCUUGGGCAUGGAUGUGUCACAUGGUCAGCCUGGCUCUGAUAGACCUUCCAUUGCUGCGGUGGUUAAUUCUCGCAAGUGGCCUCUCAUCUCUAAAUAUAGAACAACAGUGCACACUCUGUCACCCAAACUAGAAACAAUGUCUUCCUUGUUUAAACCACGGGGAAAGGAAGAUGAUGGCCUCAUUCGGGAAUCACUUAUCGACUUCUACAAUAGUACUGGGAAUCGAAAACCAGAUCAAGUUAUUAUUUUCAGAUGUGAUGUACAAGUAUUAUCCGGUAUUGGACAGUGUCACUCCAUCUACUUUUAAUCAAUGCAGGCCUGUAAGUUCCUUGAUGAGAAGUGGGAGCCUAAGUUCACAGUAAUUGUUGCUCAGAAAAACCAUCAUACCAGAUUUUUCCAGACUGGAUGUCCGGAUAAUGUUCCUCCUGGGACCGUCGUGGAUAAAGAGGUCUGCCAUCCCAAGAAUUUCGACUUCUACAUGUGUGCCCAUGCUGGGAUGAUAGGCACGUCGAGGCCAACACAUUACCAUGUUCUGCAUGAUGAGAUCGGCUUCACAGCGGAUGAGCUUCAGGAAUUUGUGCAUUCGCUUUCAUACGUGUACCAGAGGAGCACAACAGCGAUAUCAGUCAUUGCUCGGAUCAUGUACGCACAUCUGGCGGCGGCCCAGGUAGGCACGUUCGUGAGGUUUGAAGACAUGUCGGAUGCGUCCUCGAGCCAGGGAGGGGGGCACACAUCGGCGGGCAGCAUUCCGGUGCCGGAGCUUCCUCGGCUGCACAAGAAUGUGAGGAGCUCCAUGUUCUUCUGCUGA